AUGCGUGACGCCGCCCACGUAUCCGGUGAUCCUGCGCAGGAAGGGGACGAUGAACCGGUCGUAGAGGACGAGGAUCACCAUCUGGAAGACGGUGGGGAUGACGAAGAGCGUGGCCGGGGAGAUGUGGACGCCGCCGAGCUUGGUGUCCAUGGUGUUCCCCUGCUGCACGGUGAAGUUGAGGAUGAGCGGCACCGGGAUGUAUCCGAGGACGGAGCUGAGGAAGAUGGGCACCAUCCGGAGGACGAUCUUGGUCUCCUCCACCUGGGUCACGGUGCACAGCGACCAUGGCCCUGUCUCUCCGGUCUCUACCACCGAUUUCUCCAGGCACCUGUAGGAAGCUUUAGCUUCAGCCAACUCUUCAAGGACAUUGUGAUCAUCUUGGUUCAGUUGCUUCAGUUCACUUGCGUUGUCAGGCAACUGAACAUUUCUUUUCUUGAAUGCCACCACAAGAACCUGUUUGAUGCCAAGUGUUUGGUCGAAUUGCCAUUACUACUACUAGGAACGGAUUGUAAUCUUGAAUGA
RNAcentral lists this ribosomal RNA (522 nucleotides) under Triticum aestivum (bread wheat). RNAcentral's name for it is "partial small subunit ribosomal RNA". The record is from RNAcentral. Lineage: Eukaryota; Viridiplantae; Streptophyta; Magnoliopsida; Poales; Poaceae.